This is a long non-coding RNA of Hibiscus syriacus, 247 nucleotides long. RefSeq lists it as uncharacterized. The record is from RefSeq and is a predicted model, not a curated record. Lineage: Eukaryota; Viridiplantae; Streptophyta; Magnoliopsida; Malvales; Malvaceae. The transcript has 3 exons.
AUAUCAUCUGGAUUCCAUGUAAAUUUUCCAGAUAUCGAAACCUUUUUACACAGGUUAGACAAUUAGUUGCAACUGCCAUCGUUUUGAAAGGACUUGGUGCUAUUUUAUUUGUACUUGGUCAUGGAUUGGGAGCAUUGUUCCUGUUUGUCUACUUGCUGGUUAGCACUCCGCUUCUCUAUGACUUCUUCAAUUAUAGUCCAGACGAGCCCCAAUACAAUGUUCUGCUCGGAGAUUUCUUGCAGGUGUU